GGACUACCCGGGUAUCUAAUCCUGUUUGCUCCCCACGCUUUCGCGUCUCAGCGUCAGUGUCCGUCCAGGUCGCCGCCUUCGCCACUGGUGUUCCUCCCGAUAUCUACGAAUUUCACCUCUACACCGGGAAUUCCGCGACCCUCUCCGGCACUCAAGUCCAAAAGUUUCCUCCGCACUUCCUUGGUUAAGCCAAGGGCUUUCACAAAGGACUUUUUAGACCGCCUACAAGCGCUUUACGCCCAAUAAUUCCGAACAACGCUCGCACCCUCUGUAUUACCGCGGCGGCUGGCAC
This 292-nucleotide ribosomal RNA is filed under the name uncultured bacterium. RNAcentral describes it as "partial 16S ribosomal RNA". The record is from RNAcentral.